AGUGAACGCUGGCGGCGUGCUUAACACAUGCAAGUCGAACGAUGAUGAAGAGCUUGCUCUUCUGAUUAGUGGCGCACGGGUGAGUAAUAUAUAGAUAACGUGCCUCUUAGUCUGGGAUAGCCAUUGGAAACGAUGAUUAAUACCGGAUACUCCUUCUAGCUCUAAUGUUAGUCGGGAAAGUUUUUUCGCUAAGAGAUCGGUCUAUAUUCCAUCAGUUAGUUGGUGAGGUAAUGGCUCACCAAGGCAAUGACGGAUAGCGGGUUUGAGAGGAUGAUCCGCCACACUGGUACUGAGACACGGACCAGACUCCUACGGGAGGCUG
RNAcentral lists this ribosomal RNA (322 nucleotides) under uncultured Pseudomonadota bacterium. RNAcentral's name for it is "bacterial SSU rRNA". It matches the Rfam family "Bacterial small subunit ribosomal RNA", at positions 29 to 351 of the family's 1533-position model. The record is from RNAcentral. Lineage: Bacteria; Pseudomonadati; Pseudomonadota.